This 203-nucleotide ribosomal RNA is filed under the name uncultured bacterium. RNAcentral describes it as "partial 16S ribosomal RNA". It matches the Rfam family "Bacterial small subunit ribosomal RNA", at positions 524 to 724 of the family's 1533-position model. The record is from RNAcentral.
UACGGAGGAUCCAAGCGUUAUCCGGAAUCAUUGGGUUUAAAGGGUCCGUAGGCGGUUUGGUAAGUCAGUGGUGAAAGCCCAUCGCUCAACGGUGGAACGGCCAUUGAUACUGCCAGACUUGAAUUAUUAGGAAGUAACUAGAAUAUGUAGUGUAGCGGUGAAAAUGCUUAGAGAUUUACAUGGAAUACCAAUUGCGAAGGCAG